This 5255-nucleotide long non-coding RNA is filed under the name Sus scrofa (pig). Its description in RNAcentral is "lncRNA (ENSSSCG00005009056.1)". Lineage: Eukaryota; Metazoa; Chordata; Mammalia; Artiodactyla; Suidae. The record is from RNAcentral.
UUUUUUUUUUUUUUUUUUUGUCUUUUUAGGGCCACACCCAUGGCAUAUGGAAGUUCCCAGACUAGGUGUCAAAUUGGAGCUGCAGCCUACACCACAGCCACAGCCACCCCAGAUCUAAGGUGCAUUUGUGACCUACAUUGCAGCUCAUGGCAACACCAGAUCCUUAACCCACUGAGCGGGGCCAGGGAUUGAACACAAAUCCUCAUGGAUAGUCAUGUUCAUCACCCCUGAGCCACAAAAGAGACUCCCUCGAUAUUCUGUAAUAACCUAUGAGGAAACAGAAUAUGAAAAAGAGGGGGUUCCCUGGUGGUCUAGUGGAUAGGAUUCAGGUGCUUUCACUGCUGUGGCCUGGGUUCAAUUCUUGGUCUGGGAACUGAGAUCCCACAUCAAGCUGCUACUUGCUGCAGCCAACAACAACAAAAGAAUCUGAAAAAGAAUAUAUAAAAGAUACAUGCACCCCUAUGUUCAUUGCAGCAGUAUUCACAAUAGCCAAGACAUGGAAACAACCUAAAUGCCCAUCAACAGAAUGGAUUAAGAAGAUUUGGUACAUAUAUACAAUGGAAUACUACACAGCCAUAAAAAGGAGAAUAAUGCCAUUUGCAGCUACACAAUUGUAACUAGAAAUUCUCAUAAUAUGUGAAGUCAGUCACAAAAAGAAAGACAAAUACCAUAUGAUAACACUUAUAUGUGGCAUCUAAAGUAUGGCACAAAUGACAUUAUCUACAGCACAGAAACAGACUCAUGGAUAUAGAGAACAGACUUGUGGUUGCCAAGGGGGAGAGGGAGGGAGGGAGUGGGAUGGAUGAGGAGUUUGGGGUUGGAAGAUGCAAACUAUUACAUUUAGAAUGGAUAAGUAAUGAGGUCCUACUGUACAGCACAGGGAACUAUGGCCAAUCUCUUGGGAUAGAACAUGAUGGCAAAAAAACCACAAAAAAACAAAACACAAACAAACAAACAAACAAAAAACCACAAACGGAGUUCCUGUCGUGGUGCAGUGGAAACCAAUCCAACUAGGAACCAUGAGGUUGCAGGUUCGAUCCCUGGCCUCGCUCAGUGGGUUAAGGAUCCGGUGUUGCCGUGAGCUGUGGCAUAGGUCGCAGAGGUGGCUUGGAUCUGUCAUUGCUGUGGCAGUGGCGUAGGCUAAAAGGUGAAGCUCCGAUUAGACCCCUAGCCUCGGAACCUCCAUAUGCCACAGUGUGGUCCUAAAAAAAAGACAAAAAUAAAAAAAAACAACAUGAUGGGAGACAACAUGAGAGAAAAAGUAUAUCUAUCUAUCUAUCUAUAUGUAUAACUGGGUCAUUUUGCUGUAGAGCUGAAAUUGAUACAAUACUGUAAAUCAACUAAAAAAAAAUUUUAGGAGUUCCUUUCGUGGCUCAGUGGUUAACGAAUCCGACUAGGAACCACGAGAUUGCGGGUUCUAUCCCUGGCCUUGCUCAGUGGGUGAACGAUCGGGCGUUGCCGUGAACUGUGGUGUAGGGACGCGGCCUGGAUCCCUCAUUGCUGUGGCUUUGGUGUAGGCUGGCGGCUACAGCUCCAAUUAGACCCCUAGCCUAGGAACCUCCAUGUGCUGCAAAAAGACCUCCCCCCUCAAAAAAAAAAUUAAAAAAAAAAAUAUACAUAUAAACUGAAUCACUUUGCUGUAUACCUGAAAAUAACACAACAUUGAGAAUGCUGUGUAUUUCAAUUAAAAAAAAAAGGAGUUCCCGUUGUGGCACAGAGAAAACGACCAGUAUCUAUGAGGAUGUGGGUUUGAUCCCUGGCCUUGCUCAGUGGAUUGGCGAUCUGGCAUUGCUGUGAGCUGUGGGGCAGGUCACAGACUUGGUGUAGAUCCCUCAUUGCUAUGGCUGUAAUGUAGGCCAGCAGCUGCAGCUCUGAUUUGACUCCCCUGGGAACUUCCACACGCUGCAGGCACGGCUCUAAAACACACACACACACACACACAAAAAGAAAAGAAAGACAAUCCCAAGGAUAAGCCUUUUUACUGUAGGUGUGUCACUGUAAUGUCACUGCCCUCUGAUUUUUCAAAGCUCUAAUCAUGGUCCCCUUAUAAACUCUCACCUGGUGUUUUGCCAAUAGACCCAACAACCUCUCCCUAAGGAAAAUCACCUUUCAGCUGAGUUUUCAAAGACCCCACUUCAGAGUUCCUGUUGUGGCUCAGUGGGUUAAGAACCCGAAUAGUAUUCAUGAUAUGUGGGUUCAAUCCCUGGCCUCACUCAGUGGGUUAAGGAUCCAGUGUUGCUGUGAGCUGUGGUGUAGGUCACAGAUGCGGCUAGGAUCCUGAGGUGCUGCAGUUGUGGUGUAGGCUGGCAGCUAUAGCUCUGAUUUGACCCCUAGCCUGGGAACUCCCAUAUGCCAUAGGUGAGGCCCUAAAAAGAAAAGAAAAGAAAGAAAGAAAUAAAAGGCCCCACUUUGGAGAUCCUGCUGUGGCUCAGUGGAAACAAAAUCUGAUUAGUAUCCACGAGGAUGCAGAUUCAAUCCCUGGUCUCGCUCAGUGGAUUAAGGAUCCGGUGUUGCCGUGAGCUGGGGUGUAGGUCACAGACUCGGCUCCCAUCUGGUGUUGCUGUGGCUGUGCUGUAGCUCAGAUUUGACCCCUAGCCUGGGAACUUCCAUAUGCUGAGGGUGGGACCCUAAAAACACAAAAACAAAAACAAAAAAUAGAAAUAAGCUCUGAGCAAACUUCUUCAUCAUGACGUGCUGGGCUGUGUUGGGAGAAGGUUCCAAGUCACUGCAGCCCAUCCUUCAUCCCUUGCAGAGAACAAUCGAGGGGGACCUGAGGCAAACAGCUUACUAUCACUUCACAGCUCGCUAUUUUAACAGAUUAAAAAGAAAGAGGAGGAGAGAAAAAACAUGAGACUAACCGGUUAAACUAGGUUUGACCGUUAAGAUAAAAGAUCACCAACAUCCUUACCAAGUAGUACACAACGGAAUAAGCUAAAUUUAUUUACUAGGUUCCAAAGAAUGUUUCCAACAAAGAGGAGAGAGCCCACAGGCCCCGUCUGAACUGGACACAAUUUAAAAGAGAAAUAGUUUGGAGUUCCCUGACGGCCUGGCAGGUAAGGGUGCAGGAACUCUGCCAUGCUGCAGACUCAGACAAAACAACAAACAAACAAACAAAACGGAAAGUGAAUUCUACCAAACAUAUAAGGAAGAACUUACACUGAUCCUUCUUCUCACACUCUUCCAAAAGAAUGAAGGCAAAAGAACACGCCCCAAAACAAGGACACUAACACAAAAACAAACUGCAGGCCAAAAUCUUUGGUGAAUAUAGAUACAAAAAUCUUCAUAAAAUACUAGCAAACUGAAUCCAGUAUACUUAAAAGCCUGGAAGCCUUACAGUAAAGCCCUCAGGCACUAACACUAGAAGUCAGCAUACAAACCCCAACAGGAAGACAUCAACGACUGGCCUCAAAGGAAUUAUUCUCCUUGUCCAGCAACAAGCCCAGCCAAUGAGAAACACCUUGUGCCUCCAACAGUCCACUUUCCUCCAAUGGGCUUUUGUGCAGAACAACUACUCCCACCUUCCCCCUUUUUCUCUAGAAAGCAAUAUUCCUCUCCUUUGCUUGCUGGGACUUCCCUGUGGUUUCUGCUACUUUUCCAGUCCUGUAUUGUGAUUCCUUAAGGAACCCGUGCUGCUGGUUUAUUGUUUUAUAAUAACUCGUACUGUGUCUUUCCACGUUCCUCAUCUAUCCUUCACUGUGCCAGCUGUUUAUGGUUGUCCUUCAUUCUUUUCUCUUUUUCUACUUCUGAGUUCUCUUGACCAGAAAUGGGAUAUGUGGAUGAAGCAUGUCUCCUGCCACAUCAGUAAACAAAGGAUGCGGUGGCUCUCAGUGGAUGCAGCCUCCCCACCCUGCCUCACUUGGGACUGUGCACUCUGAGGGGACUCAGGAUGGAGAAAAGCAGAAUGCUGGCCUUGGACAGUCAAGGUGCAUAUCCAAGGAAGGAUUUCCAAGAGCCCAGACUUUACCACCUUCCCAUACACUGAAAAGCAGUAAAUUCAUUAACUUGACAUUUCUGGUUUUCUUUAACACUUAACUUUUUUUUUUUUUUAAGUGCCACACCCGCAGCAUACGGAGGUUCCCAGGCUAGGGGUUAUAGCCGCUGGCCUACACCACAACCACAGCAAGGACAGACUGAAGCCGCGUCUGCAAGACUACACCACCUCUCAGGGCAAUGCAGGACCCUUCACCCACUGAGUGAGGUCAGGGAUCAAACCUUUGUCCUCAUGGUUCCUAGUCAGAUUCGUUUCCGCUGAGCCACGAUGGGAACUCCAACACGAAUCUUUGGAUGCGCCAACUAACUGGAUUGUUGUUGUGGCUUUUUUCGUUUUGUUUUUGCAAAACUCCUAUACACCCUCGGCUCCUCCUUCACCUCUUGGGAGCAGUCCCUCAGAGAGGCUGUGGCUGGGCUUAAGUCCGCAGUUUUGGUUUUUUGAUUGUAAGUUGAUUUACAAUGUUGUGCCAACUGCUGCUGUACAAUAAAGUGAACCAUGCAUACACACACGCUCUUUUUCUCAUAUUAUCUUCUACCAUGUUCUUAUCCAAAAGCCUAUAGUUCCCUUGUGCUGUACAGUAGGACCUCACCGCUUAUCCAUUCUAAAUGCAAUAGUUUGCAUCUACCAACCCCAAGUCCUCAGUUUUAUCUGCCAAAUAUAACAUAAUUCUCAACUUCUAGGUGAUACCUGUUUAGUCAACAGAAAGGAUUAGAUGCCCGUUUAUUAAUUCCACAGCAACAGAGCACGUUAUCGAGUGGGGUAGAAUUUGGGGCAGAAAAAUUCUGAGUGUCUCAAGACAGGCCCGUUUUAGCUUCUUUCCCCAACUGCAAGGUGAGGAGAGACAGAGACUAAAAAGGAGGGGCCUGGGAACCAGAACAUCCCGGCUGUGGAGUGUGCGAGGCGAAGGAAAGUGGGUGUGUUUCUGGAACGGAGCGGGCUCUCCAGAAUCCCGGGGCCAGAAGCAGGACGGAGCCUCUCCUGCAGCGGGGCGGUGGGCUCGCGGCCCUCCAGGGGCGGAGACGCAGAGGCAAGGGGGCGCGAGGGGCAGGGAUCCGCUCGCGGAUUUCCACAGGAAAGCGAAGCCGCAGCCCCUCCCCCUCCCGCCUCGCACGGCGACGCCUGCAUUUACUUCGUCUGCUGGACGAAGGCCGGGAUUUUAGGAUCAGUAGGACCCUCGGACCCAGAUACGGGGGACAGGGUACCGCAAACACCGGUUUAAACAAGAAAGAUGAAACUCACGCUCUCGUAGGGUGACCCUCGCUCC